RNAcentral lists this long non-coding RNA (780 nucleotides) under Marmota monax (woodchuck). Lineage: Eukaryota; Metazoa; Chordata; Mammalia; Rodentia; Sciuridae. The record is from RNAcentral.
GAACAAAUGAGAGACAAGCGGAAACCCCCAUCCUGACCCACAGUGAAGUAGUGUACAGGUAGUGCUGGCCACUGUGCCACCUGGAGCUGAUUGGCUGAGCAUGCCAAAGACUCUUUUCUCCAAGACUGCCAACUCAGGCUUACAGCAUGCAAAUGGCCUAGGGUGGUGCUUUAAGUGUGCUGUUAGAAGAGGAGUUAAACUGACCUUCCAUUCCUGCUCUUGGAAGCCAGUGAUGUCUGGCCUUAGACUAUGCUUUGAAGGCAAGCCUAUGAGGCCCAGAGUCCAAGUAGAUCACAGACACAUGAAAACAUCUCUUUCAAGAGUCCAUUUCAAACAGCAAACAGAUUCCAAAAAUGAUUACAAUUAUUUAAGUUGAAAUACUAAGAUUCACCCCAAUUCUUUUUAUUUUUUUCCCCUCCUAAGGUCAAGCACAUGAAUCACCCAGGGCUUAAUUACAAUUGAAGACAAGAGGACACAGUAACUACUAUUCAGAUAACUUGAAAUGUAAAACUUGAAACAAGCCCUGAUUUUAAUCUCUAUUUAUGGAUAUAAUUCAAUCCUUGGUCAACUGGGUUUCUCCUCUAUGUCAUAUUGCAAGUCAAAUAUUGGACACUUAGAGUGUAAGUCCAUGUGGCAAAUCUCCAACAUCAAUAUGCUGAGCCAAAAUGUGAUCUAGGUUUUUGCUUUUUCCUAAAUGGAUCGUGUAUAGCUAUCCAGGAAAAAGAGAUCUUUGAUUUAUUAGAAUUGGGAUAAUCAAAAAAGCCCAGCAGCCACUACAGA